Non-coding RNA from Neohortaea acidophila, 107 nucleotides. NCBI's taxonomy places the organism in Eukaryota, Fungi, Ascomycota, Dothideomycetes, Mycosphaerellales, Teratosphaeriaceae. The record is from the annotation of a RefSeq genome assembly.
UCUUGGAUGGUGCAAUGGUAGCAUUUCCGCCCGUCUUCGAUUUCAACCUCGCUGGUUGUCUUUCAAUACGCCCGCGGGAGAUCGUAGUUCAAGUCUACGUCUGAGAG